This is a non-coding RNA of Pseudonaja textilis, 490 nucleotides long. NCBI's taxonomy places the organism in Eukaryota, Metazoa, Chordata, Lepidosauria, Squamata, Elapidae. The record is from the annotation of a RefSeq genome assembly.
UGGAAGGAAGGAGAGGCAGGAGAAAAACAGCGGUGUGCACAUUCCUCUUACAAUGUUGUGGGCCUACUCUGUUCUGUUCCUGGGAUGGCUCUUCUCAGGUUUGGAGUCCCAGAUGAUAUUAACUCAACCAUCCUCCAUGUCUGCGUCUCCAGGAUCAACAUUUAACAUCCCUUGUCAAAUGAACACUGGCUACAGCAUUAACAGCGAGAGAGCCAGGUGGCUCCAGCAGAAACCCGGUGGCGUCCCACGUUUUCUGUACCACUAUUAUACCAGUACUGAUCAAGGCAGGGGAACUGGGGUCCCAGAGAGGUUCAGCGUUUCCCCUGAUGCCUCCCAGAACCUCUGGAAUCUAGUGAUCAAUGGAGUUCAAGUGGAAGAUGAUGCUGUUUAUUACUGUGCCUCAUGGGACUACAAACUUACUGGGUACACGGUGAUUGACUUUAACGAGGAACUGAGACAAAAACCUUUUGCUUGUCGCAUCUGCAGGUGA